This 1502-nucleotide ribosomal RNA is filed under the name uncultured bacterium. RNAcentral's name for it is "bacterial SSU rRNA". It matches the Rfam family "Bacterial small subunit ribosomal RNA". The record is from RNAcentral.
UAGAGUUUGAUCAUGGCUCAGAUUGAACGCUGGCGGCAGGCCUAACACAUGCAAGUCGAGCGGCAGCACGGGUACUUGUACCUGGUGGCGAGCGGCGGACGGGUGAGUAAUGCCUAGGAAUCUGCCUGGUAGUGGGGGAUAACGCUCGGAAACGGACGCUAAUACCGCAUACGUCCUACGGGAGAAAGCAGGGGACCUUCGGGCCUUGCGCUAUCAGAUGAGCCUAGGUCGGAUUAGCUAGUUGGUGAGGUAAUGGCUCACCAAGGCGACGAUCCGUAACUGGUCUGAGAGGAUGAUCAGUCACACUGGAACUGAGACACGGUCCAGACUCCUACGGGAGGCAGCAGUGGGGAAUAUUGGACAAUGGGCGAAAGCCUGAUCCAGCCAUGCCGCGUGUGUGAAGAAGGUCUUCGGAUUGUAAAGCACUUUAAGUUGGGAGGAAGGGCAUUAACCUAAUACGUUAGUGUUUUGACGUUACCGACAGAAUAAGCACCGGCUAACUCUGUGCCAGCAGCCGCGGUAAUACAGAGGGUGCAAGCGUUAAUCGGAAUUACUGGGCGUAAAGCGCGCGUAGGUGGUUCGUUAAGUUGGAUGUGAAAUCCCCGGGCUCAACCUGGGAACUGCAUUCAAAACUGUCGAGCUAGAGUAUGGUAGAGGGUGGUGGAAUUUACUGUGUAGCGGUGAAAUGCGUAGAUAUAGGAAGGAACACCAGUGGCGAAGGCGACCACCUGGACUGAUACUGACACUGAGGUGCGAAAGCGUGGGGAGCAAGCAGGAUUAGAUACCCUGGUAGUCCACGCCGUAAACGAUGUCAACUAGCCGUUGGGAGCCUUGAGCUCUUAGUGGCGCAGCUAACGCAUUAAGUUGACCGCCUGGGGAGUACGGCCGCAAGGUUAAAACUCAAAUGAAUUGACGGGGGCCCGCACAAGCGGUGGAGCAUGUGGUUUAAUUCGAAGCAACGCGAAGAACCUUACCAGGCCUUGACAUCCAAUGAACUUUCCAGAGAUGGAUUGGUGCCUUCGGGAACAUUGAGACAGGUGCUGCAUGGCUGUCGUCAGCUCGUGUCGUGAGAUGUUGGGUUAAGUCCCGUAACGAGCGCAACCCUUGUCCUUAGUUACCAGCACGUUAUGGUGGGCACUCUAAGGAGACUGCCGGUGACAAACCGGAGGAAGGUGGGGAUGACGUCAAGUCAUCAUGGCCCUUACGGCCUGGGCUACACACGUGCUACAAUGGUCGGUACAGAGGGUUGCCAAGCCGCGAGGUGGAGCUAAUCCCACAAAACCGAUCGUAGUCCGGAUCGCAGUCUGCAACUCGACUGCGUGAAGUCGGAAUCGCUAGUAAUCGCGAAUCAGAAUGUCGCGGUGAAUACGUUCCCGGGCCUUGUACACACCGCCCGUCACACCAUGGGAGUGGGUUGCACCAGAAGUAGCUAGUCUAACCUUCGGGGGGACGGUUACCACGGUGUGAUUCAUGACUGGGGUGAAGUCGUAACAAGGUAACCG